This 2106-nucleotide ribosomal RNA is filed under the name Salmonella enterica subsp. enterica serovar Westminster. RNAcentral describes it as "partial 23S ribosomal RNA". It matches the Rfam family "Bacterial large subunit ribosomal RNA", at positions 711 to 2800 of the family's 2925-position model. The record is from RNAcentral. Lineage: Bacteria; Pseudomonadati; Pseudomonadota; Gammaproteobacteria; Enterobacterales; Enterobacteriaceae.
AGACCCGAAACCCGGUGAUCUAGCCAUGGGCAGGUUGAAGGUUGGGUAACACUAACUGGAGGACCGAACCGACUAAUGUUGAAAAAUUAGCGGAUGACCUGUGGCUGGGGGUGAAAGGCCAAUCAAACCGGGAGAUAGCUGGUUCUCCCCGAAAGCUAUUUAGGUAGCGCCUCGUGAAUUCAUCUCCGGGGGUAGAGCACUGUUUCGGCUAGGGGGCCAUCCCGGCUUACCAACCCGAUGCAAACUGCGAAUACCGGAGAAUGUUAUCACGGGAGACACACGGCGGGUGCUAACGUCCGUCGUGAAGAGGGAAACAACCCAGACCGCCAGCUAAGGUCCCAAAGUCAUGGUUAAGUGGGAAACGAUGUGGGAAGGCCCAGACAGCCAGGAUGUUGGCUUAGAAGCAGCCAUCAUUUAAAGAAAGCGUAAUAGCUCACUGGUCGAGUCGGCCUGCGCGGAAGAUGUAACGGGGCUAAACCAUGCACCGAAGCUGCGGCAGCGACACUGUGUGUUGUUGGGUAGGGGAGCGUUCUGUAAGCCGUUGAAGGUGGCCUGUGAGGGUUGCUGGAGGUAUCAGAAGUGCGAAUGCUGACAUAAGUAACGAUAAAGCGGGUGAAAAGCCCGCUCGCCGGAAGACCAAGGGUUCCUGUCCAACGUUAAUCGGGGCAGGGUGAGUCGACCCCUAAGGCGAGGCCGAAAGGCGUAGUCGAUGGGAAACGGGUUAAUAUUCCCGUACUUGGUGUUACUGCGAAGGGGGGACGGAGAAGGCUAUGUUGGCCGGGCGACGGUUGUCCCGGUUUAAGCGUGUAGGCUGGUUUUCCAGGCAAAUCCGGAAAAUCAAGGCUGAGGCGUGACGACGAGGCACUACGGUGCUGAAGCAACAAAUGCCCUGCUUCCAGGAAAAGCCUCUAAGCAUCAGGUAACAUCAAAUCGUACCCCAAACCGACACAGGUGGUCAGGUAGAGAAUACCAAGGCGCUUGAGAGAACCCGGGUGAAGGAACUAGGCAAAAUGGUGCCGUAACUUCGGGAGAAGGCACGCUGACACGUAGGUGAAGUGAUUUACUCAUGGAGCUGAAGUCAGUCGAAGAUACCAGCUGGCUGCAACUGUUUAUUAAAAACACAGCACUGUGCAAACACGAAAGUGGACGUAUACGGUGUGACGCCUGCCCGGUGCCGGAAGGUUAAUUGAUGGGGUCAGCGCAAGCGAAGCUCCUGAUCGAAGCCCCGGUAAACGGCGGCCGUAACUAUAACGGUCCUAAGGUAGCGAAAUUCCUUGUCGGGUAAGUUCCGACCUGCACGAAUGGCGUAAUGAUGGCCAGGCUGUCUCCACCCGGGACUCAGUGAAAUUGAACUCGCUGUGAAGAUGCAGUGUACCCGCGGCAAGACGGAAAGACCCCGUGAACCUUUACUAUAGCUUGACACUGAACAUUGAGCCUUGAUGUGUAGGAUAGGUGGGAGGCUUUGAAGCGUGGACGCCAGUCUGCGUGGAGCCGACCUUGAAAUACCACCCUUUAAUGUUUGAUGUUCUAACGUGGACCCGUGAUCCGGGUUGCGGACAGUGUCUGGUGGGUAGUUUGACUGGGGCGGUCUCCUCCUAAAGAGUAACGGAGGAGCACGAAGGUUGGCUAAUCCUGGUCGGACAUCAGGAGGUUAGUGCAAUGGCAUAAGCCAGCUUGACUGCGAGCGUGACGGCGCGAGCAGGUGCGAAAGCAGGUCAUAGUGAUCCGGUGGUUCUGAAUGGAAGGGCCAUCGCUCAACGGAUAAAAGGUACUCCGGGGAUAACAGGCUGAUACCGCCCAAGAGUUCAUAUCGACGGCGGUGUUUGGCACCUCGAUGUCGGCUCAUCACAUCCUGGGGCUGAAGUAGGUCCCAAGGGUAUGGCUGUUCGCCAUUUAAAGUGGUACGCGAGCUGGGUUUAGAACGUCGUGAGACAGUUCGGUCCCUAUCUGCCGUGGGCGCUGGAGAACUGAGGGGGGCUGCUCCUAGUACGAGAGGACCGGAGUGGACGCAUCACUGGUGUUCGGGUUGUCAUGCCAAUGGCACUGCCCGGUAGCUAAAUGCGGAAGAGAUAAGUGCUGAAAGCAUCUAAGCACGAAACUUGCCCC